RNAcentral lists this ribosomal RNA (464 nucleotides) under uncultured bacterium. RNAcentral's name for it is "partial 16S ribosomal RNA". It matches the Rfam family "Bacterial small subunit ribosomal RNA", at positions 29 to 507 of the family's 1533-position model. The record is from RNAcentral.
ACGCACGCUGGCGGCGUGCUUCACACAUGCAAGUCGUACGGUAAGGCCCUUUCGGGGGUCCACGAGUGGCGAACGGGUGAGUAACACGUGAGUAACCUGCCCACAACUUUGGGAUAACGCUAGGAAACUGGUGCUAAUACUGGAUAUGUGCUCCUGCUGCAUGGUGGGGGUUGGAAAGCUCCGGCGGUUGUGGAUGGACUCGCGGCCUAUCAGCUUGUUGGUGGGGUAGUGGCCUACCAAGGCGGCGACGGGUAGCCGGCCUGAGAGGGUGACCGGCCACAUUGGGACUGAGAUACGGCCCAGACUCCUACGGGAGGCAGCAGUGGGGAAUAUUGCACAAUGGGCGCAAGCCUGAUGCAGCAACGCCGCGUGCGGGAUGACGGCCUUCGGGUUGUAAACCGCUUUCAGCAGGGACGAAGCUUUUUGUGACGGUACCUGCAGAAGAAGCACCGGCUAACUACGUG